This 252-nucleotide ribosomal RNA is filed under the name uncultured bacterium. RNAcentral's name for it is "partial 16S ribosomal RNA". It matches the Rfam family "Bacterial small subunit ribosomal RNA", at positions 524 to 776 of the family's 1533-position model. The record is from RNAcentral.
UACGGAGGAUGCGAGCGUUAUCCGGACUUAUUGGGCUUAAAGGGUGCGUAGGCGGGCUGUUAAGUCAGCGGUAAAAGCCCGGGGCUCAACCCCGGCGAGCCGUUGAAACUGGCUGUCUUGAGAUGUCGAGAGGUAUGCGGAAUGCGCAGUGUAGCGGUGAAAUGCUUAGAUAUUGCGCAGAACUCCGAUUGCGAAGGCAGCAUACCGGCGGCGAUCUGACGCUGAGGCACGAAAGCGUGGGUAUCGAACAGG